GAUGACACGACACACGAUGCACAUUGCACAAGGACCAACGGUUUUUUGUGAAGGGCAACGGUAAUUUUUGUGAUUUUAUCCAGGAAAUAUAGGAGCUGUGGUGAUGGAAUUUUCCAACACAAAAGAAAAAGACAUAGAAGCAGUACGGUAAUCAAAUACUGGCUGAAGUCUCCAAAAACUCGGUUUACCAGCAAAGAGAAAUCUAAAAAUGUUCAAACACCGGAUUCUGGAGGAAAAUGUGAAUGCUUCAAAAAUUGAGAUUGAAUUGAGGUGCAGUAACAUAAACCAGUAUGUAGCUCAAAAAAUUGCUACUUCAAACAGGAAGAGAUUAAAGUAUUCUGGAGCACCACAAUAAGGACCUUUCUUAAUAGA
This 372-nucleotide long non-coding RNA is filed under the name Nilaparvata lugens (brown planthopper). Its description in RNAcentral is "uncharacterized LOC120353231". The record is from RNAcentral. Lineage: Eukaryota; Metazoa; Arthropoda; Insecta; Hemiptera; Delphacidae.